Molecule: ribosomal RNA, 539 nt
Filed under: uncultured bacterium
Lineage: Bacteria
Description: bacterial SSU rRNA
Rfam family: Bacterial small subunit ribosomal RNA
Source: RNAcentral
AAUAGAUACCCCGGUAGUCCACGCUGUAAACGGUGGGUACUAGGUGUGGGUCCAUUCCACGGGUUCCGUGCCGUAGCUAGCGCUUUAAGUACCCCGCCUGGGAGUACGGCCGCAAGGCUAAAACUCAAAGGAAUUGACGGGGCCCCGCACAAGCGGCGGAGCAUGCGGAUUAAUUCGAUGCAACGCGUAGAACCUUACCUGGGUUUGACAUGGAUCGGGAGCGCUCAGAGAUGGGUGUGCCUCUUUUGGGGUCGGUUCACAGGUGGUGCAUGGCUGUCGUCAGCUCGUGUCGUGAGAUGUUGGGUUAAGUCCCGCAACGAGCGCAACCCUUGUUCACUGUUGCCAGCACGUUAUGGUGGGGACUCAGUGGAGACCGCCGGGGUCAACUCGGAGGAAGGUGGGGAUGACGUCAAGGUCAUCAUGCCCCUUAUGUCCAGGGCUUCACGCAUGCUACAAUGGCUGGUACAGAGAGUGGCGAGCCUGUGAGGGUGAGCGAAUCUCGGAAAGCCGGUCUCAGUUCGGAUUGGGGUCUGCUAACG